UACGGAGGGUGCGAGCGUUAUCCGGAAUUCCUGGGUUUAAAGGGUGCGUAGGCGGCUUGGUAAGUCAGGAGUGAAAGUUUGCGGCUCAACCGUAAAAUUGCUUUUGAUACUGCCAGGCUAGAAUCAGGAUGAGGUCAGCGGAAUGUGGCAUGUAGCGGUGAAAUGCAUAGAUAUGCCAUAGAACACCUAUUGCGAAGGCAGCUGGCUAGACCUGUAUUGACGCUGAGGCACGAAAGCGUGGGGAGCGAACAGG
Molecule: ribosomal RNA, 253 nt
Filed under: uncultured bacterium
Lineage: Bacteria
Description: partial 16S ribosomal RNA
Rfam family: Bacterial small subunit ribosomal RNA
Source: RNAcentral